GACGAGCGCUGGCGGCGUGCCUAAUACAUGCAAGUUGAGCGCUGAAGGUUGGUACUUGUACCGACUGGAUGAGCAGCGAACGGGUGAGUAACGCGUGGGGAAUCUGCCUUUGAGCGGGGGACGACAUUUGGAAACGAAUGCUAAUACCGCAUAACAACUUUAAACACAAGUUUUAAGUUUGAAAGAUGCAAUUGCAUCACUCAAAGAUGAUCCCGCGUUGUAUUAGCUAGUUGGUGAGGUAAGGGCUCACCAAGGCGAUGAUACAUAGCCGACCUGAGAGGGUGCUCGGCCACAUUGGGGCUGAGACACGACCCCAACUCCUACGGGGGGCAGCAGUAGGGAAUCUUCAGCAAUGGACUAAAGUCUGACCGAGCAACGCCGCGUGAGUGAAGAAGGUUUUCGGAUCGUAAAACUCUGUUGGUAGAGAAGAACGUUGGUGAGAGUGGAAAGCUCAUCAAGUGACGGUAACUACCCAGAAAGGGACGGCUAACUACGUGCCAGCAGCCGCAGUAA
RNAcentral lists this ribosomal RNA (513 nucleotides) under uncultured bacterium. Its description in RNAcentral is "partial 16S ribosomal RNA". It matches the Rfam family "Bacterial small subunit ribosomal RNA", at positions 28 to 523 of the family's 1533-position model. The record is from RNAcentral.